Molecule: ribosomal RNA, 158 nt
Filed under: Brevicellicium olivascens
Lineage: Eukaryota; Fungi; Basidiomycota; Agaricomycetes; Trechisporales; Hydnodontaceae
Description: 5.8S ribosomal RNA
Rfam family: 5.8S ribosomal RNA
About the family: 5.8S ribosomal RNA (5.8S rRNA) is a component of the large subunit of the eukaryotic ribosome. It is transcribed by RNA polymerase I as part of the 45S precursor that also contains 18S and 28S rRNA.
Source: RNAcentral
CAACUUUCAACAACGGAUCUCUUGGCUCUCGCAUCGAUGAAGAACGCAGCGAAAUGCGAUAAGUAAUGUGAAUUGCAGAAUUCAGUGAAUCAUCGAAUCUUUGAACGCACCUUGCGCCCGUCGGUAUUCCGACGGGCAUGCCUGUUUGAGUGUCUUGA